AUGGAAGAGAUCUCACUGGAUGAGGAUCACGUUGUUUUCACAGUGCGAGGCUCUGCCUUCUUGAAAGCUCUGGCAGUAUCAAUAGAGGCUGUUCCUCAGAGCUUUUACAAAGCAGCCCCCCUGGCUGACAAGUCCUGGGGCAAGGCGUCUUGGACCACUAAUAACUCAGCAUCUCUUCUAGGCUUUUAUGGGCUCUUCAGUGGCUCUGCAUGCCUCUGUAUCCCCUCAUGUCCAGGCAGUGGCAAAUAGAGGCCAUGAUGCCACAGCUACCAGCUUGGGAGCCAGGUGUCAGCGACUGACCCAGAGCUGCUUCUCACUGUGCUAUUUCAGGCUUUUAGGACAUGGGACUGUGGAAUCUCCGCAUUGGAAGAAAGAGAUCUCAGAGCUCAGUUGAUUCAGUUCCUGGUACCUGAAUCCCCUCUAAUCCUAGCAGUGGCAUCCUUAUUGAGCGCCUUCCCGUAGGUCAUCACAAUAUUGCCACCAAGUGAGGGCCCAGUGUGUGAACACCUCUUGAGUUAGUCUGUUCAGCUCAGAGGUUUUGACUGCUGGAAACACACCCCUCACCCGGUGCUUAAGAUCUUUUAGAACGUAUAGUAUAACGGAGGACAGCACAUCCUGCUUGUAUGUGAAUCCAGGGUCCACCUACUAGCUGACUAACACUGGGCAAGUUACUGAGUCCUCUGUCCCUCACUUUCCUCAUCUGAAAAAUGGGGAUAAUAAUAUUACAGUCUCAUAAAGCUGUUGUACAGAUUAGGUGUUAAUGCAUGAAAAAUUUUUUUUAAGUGCCUGGCAUAGAGAAAGUAAUGUAUGUUAUGUGUAUAUAUAAAUGUAAAUAUAUUAUUAUGUAAUAUUGUUGUAUAUCAUAUAUAAUUAUAUGUCAUGUAUAAUCAAAUAUAUAUCAAACAUCUAUCAUACAUACGACAUAUACACGCACAUACCUAUACUGUUAUUAUUAUACUGUUCUUGCUACUGUAACUUAACAGCAACAAAACUCCUCAAUAGAGAGAGGAGACUUCAAGUGUAAAUCUUCCUGGGAAGGAAAUGAAUGAUCUUUGCCUUGUAUGAGCCAUGUGCUUUACAUGGCAUCUUACCUAGUCUUCACAACAAUAUAUAUGAGAGAUAUUGUCAAUUCCUAUUUUACGGAGGAUGAAACUAAGGCUCAUGUCAUCGGGCAAGCGCUCAAGGGUCAUUGACAUAGUAAGUGGCAGAGGUGGCCUUAUUUCAAAGGCAUUAAACUGCGGUGACUUAACUUCCUACGGAGGCAGACAUGGCUGGGACCAGCUCUUUCUCUGAGAGGCGGCUGGUACCACUGGCUUCUGGAUGAGGCAUGGGUGACUGAAGAGAAGAAUCUUGGAGGAGGAGGGCUAUACGAUGCGAGAGUGCGGGGCUGCCAAGGCGCCGGGUGAUGGGAAGAAUGUGGACACCCCUCUCCUCCCCUUCAAGACCCUCCGUCAGAGACAGACCCUGCUGCCCGCUGUGAGCUGCUCUUCCCUCCUAGGACUGUGUCAGCCGCUCCCUGCGUGUCCUUUACUCCCAGCAUGCUCCUCUGCCAGCUGAGCAACCUCUCCUGCCUUCAAACCUUUUCCUUGCACAGUGGAAUGACUUAAUGGCUUCCUGCCAAGACCAAAAUAGUCUGGGCUGUAUUUAUCUGUUCUGUGCUCACACAGGACGGGGAACAUCACAGUAAAGCUUCAGUGCUCUUGAAUUUGGAUGAGGCAAUGCUCAGACUAGUGCUUGGCAAAUAUAUUUGCUUUUAAAAUUUCUUUUGAAGUGAGCUGAGGUGAGGAGAGGAACAGAAGGCAUAGAGAGGAAUGAAAAGUUAUGGGUCUUUUAGUCUUGGUCAUAAGCUUCAGAAAAUUCCUGUGCAUGGGAGUGAUGACUCAGAUGGUAACCUAGCACUCGUGAUAAGCAGCUUAUCCAUAGGAUCUAACCACCGAGGUUUCCCUGUAGUACAAUGAGAGACUUAGAUGUACUGAUCACCAGAACCCCAUCGACUGACCACUAAGGCUUUAUACCUUACCUCCACAAUGGGAUAGUUCUUGGCCCAAGUGCUAUUCGCUGGGUCUGGAAUUUCUUUGCUACACCACUGAGGUCUGAGGGCCAAAAGGAGAACAAAUACCCUGCAGGUAAAGAAAACAGUGACAUUGGUUAAGUGGGCACACGGUGGCCUGGAAGCACAGUGACUUCAGUGUAGGGGUAUGCAAAUGAGUAAACUGUAAACACUGCAGGAGAAAGAUGAUGCAUCGUCCAAGUCUGGACUAGUUUUCUGUGAAGUUUGGAUAGAUGAUAAAGACUCGUGGGGCAACGACUUAGGGUUUGCUAAAUAAACUACGGAACUUUUGCUCGGUGUAAUGUUUAGCUAUCACUAAGCAGCCAAGCACUCACUCAACAAACGUUGAUUGAAUCCUUAAUGUAUGACCAGCACAGUGCCACAUGCUGGGGAUAAAACAGCAAACAAGAGGACAUGGUCAAUACCCUUGGGGAGAUUACUAUUUAUAUUUAGUAAAUUAGAAUGUUUAUAAAGAGCUUGUAAUGAAAACAAAGUAAAACGGGAUACAGGUGGUAUAAACAGC
This 2573-nucleotide long non-coding RNA is filed under the name Delphinapterus leucas (beluga whale). RNAcentral's name for it is "lncRNA (ENSDLEG00000021403.1)". The record is from RNAcentral. Lineage: Eukaryota; Metazoa; Chordata; Mammalia; Artiodactyla; Monodontidae.